Molecule: ribosomal RNA, 442 nt
Filed under: uncultured bacterium
Lineage: Bacteria
Description: partial 16S ribosomal RNA
Rfam family: Bacterial small subunit ribosomal RNA
Source: RNAcentral
CCUACGGGAGGCAGCAGUGGGGGAUAUUGCACAAUGGGGGAAACCCUGAUGCAGCGACGCCGCGUGGGCGAAGAAGUAUUUCGGUAUGUAAAGCCCUAUCAGCAGGGAAGAAGAAAUGACGGUACCUGAGUAAGAAGCACCGGCUAAAUACGUGCCAGCAGCCGCGGUAAUACGUAUGGGGCAAGCGUUAUCCGGAUUUACUGGGUGUAAAGGAAGCGCAGGCGGCACGGCAAGCCUGAUGGGAAAGCCCGCGGCCCAACCGCGGGACUGCAUUGGGAACUACCGGGCUGGAGUGCCGGAGAGGUCGGCGGAAUUCCUCGUGUAGCGGUGCUAUGCGUAGCUCUUAGGUGGACCACCAGUGGCGCAGGCGGCCUACUGGACGGUGACUGACGCUGAGGCUCGACAGCGUGGGGAGCACACAGGAUUAGAUACCCCAGUAGUC